This 449-nucleotide ribosomal RNA is filed under the name uncultured bacterium. RNAcentral's name for it is "partial 16S ribosomal RNA". It matches the Rfam family "Bacterial small subunit ribosomal RNA", at positions 354 to 796 of the family's 1533-position model. The record is from RNAcentral.
GUCGAGAAUCAUUCACAAUGGGGGAAACCCUGAUGGUGUGACGCCGCGUGGAGGAUGAAGGUCUUCGGAUUGUAAACUCCUGUCAUGUGGGAGUAAAGCCGGGUGUUAAAUGCAUGCCGGUCUGAGAGUACCACAAGAGGAAGGGACGGCUAACUCUGUGCCAGCAGCCGCGGUAAUACAGAGGUCCCAAGCGUUGUUCGGAAUCACUGGGCGUAAAGGGUGCGUAGGCGGCGCGGAAAGUCAGGGGUGAAAUCCCGGAGCUCAACUCCGGAACGGCCUUUGAUACUCCCGCGCUUGAGAACUGGAGGGGAGACCGGAAUUCACGGUGGAGCAGUGAAAUGCGUGGAUAUCGUGAGGAACACUAGUGGCGAAGGCGGGUCUCUGGACAGUAUCUGACGCUGAGGCACGAAGGCCAGGGGAGCGAACGGGAUUAGAUACCCGGGUAGUCC